This 1549-nucleotide ribosomal RNA is filed under the name uncultured archaeon. Its description in RNAcentral is "bacterial SSU rRNA". It matches the Rfam family "Archaeal small subunit ribosomal RNA". The record is from RNAcentral.
AUUCCAGCUGAUCCUGCUGGAGGAUACUGCUAUCGAAAUCCGACUUAGACAUGCAAGUCUUGGAGGCAAAGCUAUGUUUGCUUCCGGCACACGGCUCAGUAACACGUGGAUAAUCUGCCCUUAAGAGGAGCCAAACCCGGGAAACUGGGCAUAAUACUCCGUAGGCAAAAGAUACUGGAAGGUUCUUUUGUCAAAAGGCAUUGCAGUGCAUGCUAUUGCAAUGCGCUUAAGGAUGAGUCUGCGGUGGAUUAGGCUGUUGGCGGGGUAACUGCCCACCAAACCAUUGAUCCAUACGGGCCUUGGAAGAGGUAGCCCGGAGAAGGACACUGAGAUAAGGGUCCUAGCCCUACGGGGUGCAGCAGUCGCGAAAACUUUACAAUGCGCGCAAGCGUGAUAAGGGGAUUUCGAGUGCAAGCACUGCUUGCUUUUGCCAAGCGCAAAAAACUUGGCGAAUAAGUGGGGGGUAAGAUACGUGCCAGCCGCCGCGGUAAUACGUACUCCACAAGUGGUAUCCGCUAAUAUUGGGCCUAAAACGUUUGUAGCCGGUUCAAAAAGUCUUUGGUGAAAUCCAGUUGCUCAACAAUUGGAAUUGCCAAAGAUACUCUUGGACUCGAGACCGGGAGAGGUUAAGGGAAUUUCCGGAGUAGCGGUGAAAUGCUAUGAUCCCGGAAAGACCACCAGUAGCGAAGGCGCUUAACCAGAACGGGUCUGACGGUGAGAAACGAAAGCUGGGGGAGCGACCCGGAUUAGAUAUGGAAUAUGGGGAGAAAAUUAAAAUCUUUUAAAAAAUUCUUCAAUUCCACUAAAUACCCGGUUAGUCCCAGCCGUAAACGAUGUGGACUAGGUGUUCCGUCACCCUCGAGGUGCCGGAGUGCCGUAGGGAAGCCAUUAAGUCCACUGCCAGGGAAGUACACUCGCAAGGGUGAAACUUAAUGGAAUUGGCGGGAGCUCACUACAAGGGGUGGAUGCUGCGGUUCAAUUGGAUACAACCCCAGAUAAUCUUACCAGAGUCGACAGCAGAAUGAUGGACAGUCUGAAGGGCUUUCCUGACGCGCUGAGAGGUGUUGUAUGGUCAUCGUCAGCUCGUACUAUGAAGCGUCCUGUUAACUCAGGCAACGGGCGAGACCCACGCCAAUAGUUGCAACCGAAAGAAUUUCUUUUGGGCACUCUAUUGGGACUGCGACAGCAAUGUUGAGGAAGGAGUGGGCCACGGUAGAUCUGUAUGGCCCGAAUACUUUGGGCAACACGCGGCAUACAAUGGCUAAGACAACGGGUCACGACGCCGAAAGGCGAAGUUAAUCUCUUAACCUUAGCCUCAGUUCGGAUCGAGGGUUGUAACUCACCCUCGUGAAUGCCUGGAAUCCCCAGUAAUUGCAGUUCAUUAUACUGCGGUGAAUACGUCCCUGAGCUUUGCACACACCGCCCAUCAAGCCAGUUGAGUAGAGCCUGGAUGAGAUGUUUCCUUCAGGAAGCAACGAUUCUGAGUUCUGCGAGACGGGCUAAGUUGUAACAAGGUGUCCGUAGGGGAACCUGCGGACGGAUCACCUCC